GGGGACCAAGAAAUUGAAGAGGAAAAGAUAAGAAAAGCAGUUGAUGGAACAUUAGGCAUUUUACGGGAAUGCCUCAAUUCAAAAACAGUAAAACGAGUUGUUUACACUUCCAGCAGAACAGCGGUUGUGUUUAAUGAUAAAGGUUUAGACACAGUGGACGAGAGCUCGUGGUCUGACAUCCAUGUCAUGAAAACUUUAAAGCCUAUAUCCGCAGCUUCUUAUGUGAUUAGCAAGACUUUAGCCGAAAAGGCUGCUCUUGAGUUUGCUGAGAAGCACGGACUAGAUUUGGUAACCGUUAUUCCUAGUUGGAUACAUGGUCCCUUCUUGAGUCCUCAGUUCCCAGAGCCAUUACGACCAGCCAUGGCAAUGAUGUACGGUAAUCAGG
Molecule: unclassified non-coding RNA, 385 nt
Filed under: Hevea brasiliensis (rubber tree)
Lineage: Eukaryota; Viridiplantae; Streptophyta; Magnoliopsida; Malpighiales; Euphorbiaceae
Source: RNAcentral